Molecule: ribosomal RNA, 243 nt
Filed under: uncultured bacterium
Lineage: Bacteria
Description: partial 16S ribosomal RNA
Rfam family: Bacterial small subunit ribosomal RNA
Source: RNAcentral
GCUACACAGCGAUGUGAUGCUAAUCUCCAAACCAUGUCUCAGUUCGGAUCGGAGUCUGCAACUCGACUCCGUGAAGCUGGAUUCGCUAGUAAUCGCGCAUCAGCCAUGGCGCGGUGAAUACGUUCCCGGGCCUUGUACACACCGCCCGUCAAGCCAUGGGAGCCGGGGGUACCUGAAGUCCGUAACCGCGAGGAUCGGCCUAGGGUAAAACUGGUGACUGGGGCUAAGUCGUAACAAGGUAAC